AGUGAACGCUGGCGGUAGGCCUAACACAUGCAAGUCGAACGGCAGCACAGUAAGAGCUUGCUCUUACGGGUGGCGAGUGGCGGACGGGUGAGGAAUACAUCGGAACCUACUUUUUCGUGGGGGAUAACGUAGGGAAACUUACGCUAAUACCGCAUACGACCUACGGGUGAAAGCAGGGGAUCUUCGGACCUUGCGCGAUUGAAUGAGCCGAUGUCGGAUUAGCUAGUUGGCGGGGUAAAGGCCCACCAAGGCGACGAUCCGUAGCUGGUCUGAGAGGAUGAUCAGCCACACUGGAACUGAGACACGGUCCAGACUCCUACGGGAGGCAGCAGUGGGGAAUAUUGGACAAUGGGCGCAAGCCUGAUCCAGCCAUACCGCGUGGGUGAAGAAGGCCUUCGGGUUGUAAAGCCCUUUUGUUGGGAAAGAAAAGCAGCAGGUUAAUACCCCACUGUUCUGACGGUACCCAAAGAAUAAGCACCGGCUAACUUCGUG
This 492-nucleotide ribosomal RNA is filed under the name uncultured bacterium. RNAcentral's name for it is "partial 16S ribosomal RNA". It matches the Rfam family "Bacterial small subunit ribosomal RNA", at positions 29 to 507 of the family's 1533-position model. The record is from RNAcentral.